Molecule: ribosomal RNA, 468 nt
Filed under: uncultured bacterium
Lineage: Bacteria
Description: partial 16S ribosomal RNA
Rfam family: Bacterial small subunit ribosomal RNA
Source: RNAcentral
GAUGAACGCUGGCGGCGUGCUUAACGCAUGCAAGUCGAACGGUGAAGGCGGAGCUUGCUCUGCUGGAUCAGUGGCGAACGGGUGAGUAACACGUGAGCAAUCUGCCCCUGACUCUGGGAUAAGCGCUGGAAACGGCGUCUAAUACUGGAUACGAGCUGCGAAGGCAUCUUCAGCAGCUGGAAAGAAUUUCGGUCAGGGAUGAGCUCGCGGCCUAUCAGCUUGUUGGUGAGGUAAUGGCUCACCAAGGCGUCGACGGGUAGCCGGCCUGAGAGGGUGACCGGCCACACUGGGACUGAGACACGGCCCAGACUCCUACGGGAGGCAGCAGUGGGGAAUAUUGCACAAUGGGCGAAAGCCUGAUGCAGCAACGCCGCGUGAGGGACGACGGCCUUCGGGUUGUAAACCUCUUUUAGCAGGGAAGAAGCGAAAGUGACGGUACCUGCAGAAAAAGCGCCGGCUAACUACGUG